UACAUGGGGUGCAAACGUUGCUAGGAAUUAUUGGGCGUAAAGCGCACGUAGGCGGUCCGUUAAGUCAGAUGUGAAAGCCCCCGGCUCAACCGGGGAAGUGCAUCUGAAACUGGCGGGCUAGAGUACGAAAGAGGGUCGCGGAAUUCCCGGUGUAGAGGUGAAAUUCGUAGAUAUCGGGAGGAACACCGGUGGCGAAGGCGGCGACCUGGGUCGAUACUGACGCUGAGGUGCGAAAGCGUGGGGAGCAAACAGG
This 253-nucleotide ribosomal RNA is filed under the name uncultured bacterium. Its description in RNAcentral is "partial 16S ribosomal RNA". It matches the Rfam family "Bacterial small subunit ribosomal RNA", at positions 524 to 776 of the family's 1533-position model. The record is from RNAcentral.